Molecule: ribosomal RNA, 363 nt
Filed under: Anomaloglossus stepheni (Stephen's rocket frog)
Lineage: Eukaryota; Metazoa; Chordata; Amphibia; Anura; Aromobatidae
Description: partial 12S ribosomal RNA
Source: RNAcentral
GAAAUCAGUUUAUAUUUAAUAUACACAUGCAAGUCUCCGCACCCCUGUGAAAACGCCCUAAAACCCCUAACAGGGAAUAGGAGCUGGUAUCAGGCACAACCACCCGCCCAAGACACCUAGCCUCGCCACACCCACAAGGGCCCUCAGCAGUGAUUAACAUUGAGCAUAAGCGACAGCUUGACUCAGUCAAAUUAUACAGAGCCGGCCAAUUUGGUGCCAGCCGCCGCGGUUAUACCAAAAGCUCAAAUUGAUUUUUAUCGGCGUAAAGCGUGAUUAAAAGAACCCCCACCCUCUGGAAUCUAAUUAAAGUUAAGCUGUGACACGCCUACUUAUUAAGAAACCCAAAAACGAAAGUUAUUCCAA